Molecule: non-coding RNA, 100 nt
Organism: Mycena vulgaris
Lineage: Eukaryota; Fungi; Basidiomycota; Agaricomycetes; Agaricales; Mycenaceae
Source: the annotation of a GenBank genome assembly
GCCCUCUUGGCUAAGUGGUUACAGCGCGGCACUUGUAUCAAUCGUCUUUGAACGGUUACAAGGCAUGCCGAGAUCACUCGUUCAACUCGGGUAGUGGGCA